CCUACGGGAGGCAGCAGUGGGGAAUAUUGGUCAAUGGGCGAAAGCCUGAACCAGCCAAGUCGCGUGAGUGAAGACUGCCCUAUGUAUGUUAAGCUUCUUUUGUAGGGAAGUAAAUCACGGUACGUGUGUCAGUAGCCACGGUUAAUUACGGUCCAGCAGCGGCUGGAAUACGUAGGGGGCCAGCGUUAUCCGGAUUUACUGGGUGUAAAGGGGGCGUAGACGGCUUUGCAAGUCUGGAGUGAAAGGCGGGGGCUCAACCCCCGGACUGCUCUGGAAACUGGACGGCUGGAGUGCAGGAGAGGUAAGUGGAAUUCGUAGUGUAGCGGUGAAAUGCGUAGAUAUUAGGAAGAACACCAGUGGCGAAGGCAGCUUACUGGACUGUAACUGACGUUGAGGCUCGAAAGCGUGGGGAUCAAACAGGAUUAGAUACCCGGGUAGUC
This 440-nucleotide ribosomal RNA is filed under the name uncultured bacterium. RNAcentral's name for it is "partial 16S ribosomal RNA". It matches the Rfam family "Bacterial small subunit ribosomal RNA", at positions 338 to 795 of the family's 1533-position model. The record is from RNAcentral.